AAUGAACGCUGGCGGCGUGCCUAACACAUGCAAGUCGAACGAGAAAUUUCCGCUUCGGUGGAAAAAGUAAAGUGGCGCACGGGUGAGUAACGCGUGGGUAACCUGCCUUUGAAUCUGGGAUAACCCCGUGAAAACGGGACUAAUACUGGAUAAUGUCCCUUUGGCUGUGGCCUUAGGGAUGAAAGGUGACCUCUUCAUGAAAGUUGCCGUUCAAAGAGGGGCCCGCGUACCAUUAGCUUGUUGGUGGGGUAACGGCCUACCAAGGCUACGAUGGUUAGCUGGUCUGAGAGGAUGAUCAGCCACACUGGAACUGGAACACGGUCCAGACUCCUACGGGAGGCAGCAGUGAGGAAUUUUGCGCAAUGGGGGAAACCCUGACGCAGCAACGCCGCGUGAGUGAUGAAGAUUUUCGGAUCGUAAAGCUCUGU
This 428-nucleotide ribosomal RNA is filed under the name uncultured bacterium. Its description in RNAcentral is "bacterial SSU rRNA". It matches the Rfam family "Bacterial small subunit ribosomal RNA", at positions 29 to 436 of the family's 1533-position model. The record is from RNAcentral.